Molecule: ribosomal RNA, 455 nt
Filed under: uncultured bacterium
Lineage: Bacteria
Description: bacterial SSU rRNA
Rfam family: Bacterial small subunit ribosomal RNA
Source: RNAcentral
AACGAACGCUGGCGGCAUGCCUAACACAUGCAAGUCGAACGAGACCUUCGGGUCUAGUGGCGCACGGGUGCGUAACACGUGGGAAUUUGCCUCGGGGUAUGGAAUAACUCAGGGAAACUUGAGCUAAUACCAUAUAAUGUCUUCGGACCAAAGAUUUAUCGCCCUGAGAUAAGCCCGCGUAGGAUUAGCUAGUUGGUGAGGUAAAGGCUCACCAAGGCGACGAUCCAUAGCUGGUCUGAGAGGAUGAUCAGCCACACUGGGACUGAGACACGGCCCAGACUCCUACGGGAGGCAGCAGUGGGGAAUAUUGGACAAUGGGCGAAAGCCUGAUCCAGCAAUGCCGCGUGAGUGAUGAAGGCCUUAGGGUUGUAAAGCUCUUUUACCCGAGAUGAUAAUGACAGUAUCGGGAGAAUAAGCUCCGGCUAACUCCGUGCCAGCAGCCGCGGUAAUGUCAC